Molecule: long non-coding RNA, 2227 nt
Organism: Chrysemys picta bellii (western painted turtle)
Lineage: Eukaryota; Metazoa; Chordata; Testudines; Emydidae
Source: RefSeq, a predicted model, not a curated record
AGGGUCAGACUGCUCAAAGCUAUCAACAUUCUGCAUUGUGGUGUGGAGUUGGAUAGCAAUGUGGACGUUAGUUUCAUCUGCAACUUCAGUCUCUCUGUAGCAAACAAGCCUCCCAAGAUGCUUUUACCAGAUAAGCCAAGCCGACACUCUCACGUGCGUCCUAACUUCAAAGUCCGAAGCUGGGUAGGAGAAUCCAAGUCCCAAGUGUUGGAUGCUGGUGAGCCUGUGGAUUCUGUAGGACCCACGGCUAAAGUUAAGUUCUUGUGUGUAACUGAAAAUUGCAGCCAGCAUAAAUAGGAGUUAGUUUGUGGCAUUCUGACCACAAAGGGAAUUACUUCUUGGAGUGGCUGCAUCCUGGUAAAUAGAAGCAGGGAAAGGGGGAAAUAGAGAAGCAUUGUACUGUGGAGGUAGCACCAAGACAAGGAUUAAUGGCCAGGGGAAUUGUAUUUUGUGUGCUUUCAGCAACAUUACAAUCUCCCCAAAGUGAGUGUUACUAAUAAAGGGGCCAGUAGAGAGGGGUCAGUGUGUCAAGGGAAAUGGAAAAUCAGGCUCUGUCAAAGGCAGAGAUUUUUAUUCUGUAAAGAAUCAGCAAAUUGCUUUGGUUUUUUUAAUUUUUAGUACUUCAAAUUUGGAUGAAUUAAAAGAACUCUGUUCCCUUUUAGAGGGGACGAAUAACAAGAAAUGGUAUAGGCAGGACACAGGAAAUGAUAUAGACAGGAUACAUGACUGCCAUUCUCUGGCAACGUAUGUUGUGUCCACAUACCCCAACACAUACAUUAUUUUACACCGGGCAAACAAUAAUGGGAAACGUGGUCAGUGUUGCAUUGGUGACAUAUUAGGUACACACAGAAUCAGAUUAACUCUGUGGUAUUGGGACUCAGGCAGGCCCCCAAUGGAGCAGAACCACACGGGGUGGAUGGUUGCAAAAUGGCAGGCACAGGGACCGCCCCCCUCCUGCCCACAGAGGACCACCACAGGACGGGGAUCUCCACCAGCUGUGCAUAGCCCAAUCGGGAGAAGUGGUUUAGGAUCAACAAUUAUGCACAGGGAGUGGUUGGGUUCUAGACAUAGUAUUUACCAUGGUAUUAUCGCAGUAAAUAGUAAUACUGCAGCACCUGGGAGCCAGAGCACCCCAUCGUGCUAGAUCCUGGACAAUCUAAGUGGUCCUCAGAGAGGGACAGGGGAGCUCCAGUGGGCUGGAUUGACUUCUCCCAUGCCUGACACAAAGCCUGUUGUUUACUUAGACUUUGUCCCAGGGUGCUGGGUGCUGGUGAAAGUUAGUUUCACCAUUAAUAAGCUAGGAUUGGCAAUGUCAGUUGCCCAACAUUCACCUUCUUCUUUGUUUGCGCCCCACAACGCUAUCUCUUGAUUGGCCCACAGACCCUAACGCACCGACCAGAGUCUUGUCAAAGCACGCACGGCACUAUACCUUUCCCCGACAAGCACGACUCAGUGCUGAGGCUACCCCUCUCCAUUACUCAAACCGUUGUGUUCUGAUAUUAUAGGAUUGAUAUUCUCACAAGCUCACAAAAUGUUGUCAGACCUUUGCAAUACCCAAAGACACAACAAGGCUGUGUUAAGAACAGAAUGAUCUGAUCUCUGAAUUUUCUUGCAGGAUGGAUGACUAAGGGGAUCAGCACUGGGAUGCACAGCCUUCCUCCUCUAGAUCAUCAGUUCAAACCCAGCCCAGGCUGGGAGUGACCAGAAGGCAUUACCAGCUGAAGGCUGUUUUCUGAACCUGUAUGUAAAAGCGUUGGUAGCAUCAGGCCCGUUGCAGGUGGAUGUUAUGUGACAAUCUUCCACCAGUGGUAUACAUCAGCAGUCUCAGCAGAGACACCAAGGACUAUCACCUUACCUCCAUCAGUGGCCUCCCUAGGUUAGGGUGGAAACAGAGCACUGGCCCAAAAGAUUGGCCCUGCGCUGAUGAGUUUACAAUCUCUGGGCAUGCAUAUGUGCAAUGCUAGCACAAUUGGCCCCAUUCUUGACUAAGAUCUCCAGGUACUACUCUGUGAUACAAAUUAUUAUUAAAAAUAUCAAACAAAGAGAUACUGUCCUUGUUCAAAAAGCAGUGUGAAUUUAAGCAAUACUGGGGGGCUGUUGAGAGAUACUCUAUUCCAGGGAUUCUCAAACUUUUGUACUGGUGCCCCCUUUCACACAGCAGGCCUCUGAGUGUGACCCCUCCUUAUAAAUAAAAACCACUUUUUUAUAUAUUUAACACCAUUAAAAA